GGGUCAGUAGGUUGGUCGUGCCACCGGUACGUACUGGUCUCACUGAUUCCUCCUUCCUGAAGAACCGUAAUGCCAUUAAUUUGGUGUUGCGGGGAAACAGGACUGUUACUUUGAAAAAAUUAGAGUGUUUAAAGCAAACUAACGCUUGAAUACAUUAGCAUGGAAUAAUGAAAUAGGACGAUCGAUCCUAUUUUGUUGGGUUCUAGGAUUGACGUA
Molecule: ribosomal RNA, 216 nt
Filed under: Glomeromycotina sp.
Lineage: Eukaryota; Fungi; Glomeromycota
Description: partial small subunit ribosomal RNA
Rfam family: Eukaryotic small subunit ribosomal RNA (bases 40-216)
Source: RNAcentral